GACGAACGCUGGCGGCGUGCUUAACACAUGCAAGUCGAACGGAAAGGCCCUGCUUUUGUGGGGUGCUCGAGUGGCGAACGGGUGAGUAACACGUGAGUAACCUGCCCUUGACUUUGGGAUAACUUCAGGAAACUGGGGCUAAUCCCGGAUAGGAGCUCCUGCUGCAUGGUGGGGGUUGGAAAGUUUCGGCGGGUGGGGAUGGACUCGCGGCUUAUCAGCUUGUUGGUGGGGUAGUGGCUUACCAAGGCUUGGACGGGUAGCCCGCCUGAGAGGGUGACCGGCCACAUUGGGACUGAGAUACGGCCCAGACUGCUACGGGAGGCAGAAGUGGGGAAUAUUGCACAAUGGGCGGAAGCCUGAUGCAGCAACGCCGCGUGCGGGAUGACGGCCUUCGGGUUGUAAACCGCUUUCGCCUGUGACGAAGCGUGAGUGACGGUAAUGGGUAAAGAAGCACCGGCUAACUACGUG
RNAcentral lists this ribosomal RNA (468 nucleotides) under uncultured bacterium. Its description in RNAcentral is "partial 16S ribosomal RNA". It matches the Rfam family "Bacterial small subunit ribosomal RNA", at positions 28 to 507 of the family's 1533-position model. The record is from RNAcentral.